UACGUAGGGUGCGAGCGUUGUCCGGAUUUAUUGGGCGUAAAGAGCUCGUAGGCGGUUUGUCGCGUCGGCCGUGAAAUCUCCACGCUUAACGUGGAGCGUGCGGUCGAUACGGGCAGACUUGAGUUCGGUAGGGGAGACUGGAAUUCCUGGUGUAGCGGUGAAAUGCGCAGAUAUCAGGAGGAACACCGGUGGCGAAGGCGGGUCGUCUGGGCCGAUACUGACGCUGAGGAGCGAAAGCGUGGGGAGCGAACAGG
This 254-nucleotide ribosomal RNA is filed under the name uncultured bacterium. RNAcentral's name for it is "partial 16S ribosomal RNA". It matches the Rfam family "Bacterial small subunit ribosomal RNA", at positions 524 to 776 of the family's 1533-position model. The record is from RNAcentral.